CAACUCUUUCCAUUAGAUAUUUAUAUUCAAUAUUUAUCAAUACAAACAACCCUCUCUUUUGAUUCAAAAAUCAUAUUCAUGUCAUAGUAUAAAUCAAUACAUUUCGUAUCAUGUUUUUCAAGAUGCAUUUCAAAACAAUCCAUAUCAUAUGAAAAAUGGAAUAAAUCAUAUCAAAAGAGGGAUUUCAUGUGAGUCAUGCUCUCAAUUCAAACAUCACAUUAAAACACAUACAUACAUA
This 238-nucleotide long non-coding RNA is filed under the name Capsicum annuum. RNAcentral's name for it is "long non-coding RNA (CANN_LNC018020)". Lineage: Eukaryota; Viridiplantae; Streptophyta; Magnoliopsida; Solanales; Solanaceae. The record is from RNAcentral.